CCUACGGGGGGCAGCAGUGAGGAAUAUUGGUCAAUGGGCGCAAGCCUGAACCAGCCAAGUCGCGUGAGGGAUGACGGUCCUAUGGAUUGUAAACCUCUUUUGUCGGGGAGCAAGGCCCGCCACGUGUGGCGGGAAGGAGAGUACCCGAAGAAAAAGCAGCGGCCAACUCCGAGCCAGCAGCCGCGGUAAUACGGAGGAUGCGAGCGUUAUCCGGAGUUAGUGGGUUUGAAGGGUGCGUAGGCGGAAGGUUAAGGCAGCGGUCAACUGUCGGUGCCCAACACCGGCCUGCCGUGGAACCUGGUCUUCUUGAGUGAGCGAGAAGUAUGCGGAAUGCGUGGUGUAGCGGUGAAAUGCAUAG
Molecule: ribosomal RNA, 358 nt
Filed under: uncultured bacterium
Lineage: Bacteria
Description: partial 16S ribosomal RNA
Rfam family: Bacterial small subunit ribosomal RNA
Source: RNAcentral